Molecule: transfer RNA, 68 nt
Filed under: Nodularia douglasiae
Lineage: Eukaryota; Metazoa; Mollusca; Bivalvia; Unionida; Unionidae
Description: tRNA-Ser
Source: RNAcentral
GGGAAGUGAGCGACUUUAUCUAAAGCUUCUAACUUUAGAAAAAGAGGUUUAACUCCUUUUACUUCCCU